UGUGGCUCAGAGGUAGAGUGCUUGCCUAGCAUGCAGGAGGCACUGGGUUCAAUCCUCAGCA
RNAcentral lists this transfer RNA (61 nucleotides) under Ictidomys tridecemlineatus (thirteen-lined ground squirrel). Its description in RNAcentral is "Spermophilus tridecemlineatus (thirteen-lined ground squirrel) tRNA". It matches the Rfam family "tRNA", at positions 6 to 65 of the family's 71-position model. From Rfam's summary of the family: Transfer RNA (tRNA) molecules are approximately 80 nucleotides in length. Their secondary structure includes four short double-helical elements and three loops (D, anti-codon, and T loops). The record is from Rfam by way of RNAcentral. Lineage: Eukaryota; Metazoa; Chordata; Mammalia; Rodentia; Sciuridae.